Molecule: ribosomal RNA, 403 nt
Filed under: uncultured eukaryote
Lineage: Eukaryota
Description: bacterial SSU rRNA
Rfam family: Eukaryotic small subunit ribosomal RNA
Source: RNAcentral
CAAUAGCGUAUAUUAAAGUUGUUGCGGUUAAAAAGCUCGUAGUUGGAUUUCUGCCGAGGACGACCGGUCCGCCUCUGGGUGAGUAUCUGGUUCGGCCUGGGCAUCUUCUUGGAGAACGUAUCUGCACUUGACUGUGUGGUGCGGUAUCCAGGACUUUUACUUUGAGGAAAUUAGAGUGUUUCAAGCAGGCACACGCCUUGAAUACAUUAGCAUGGAAUAACGAAUGGGUCUACAAUUUGGUUGAUUGUAGAUUGCGAUUAAUAGGGACAGUUGGGGGCAUUAGUAUUUAAUUGUCAGAGGUGAAAUUCUUGGAUUAGUUAAAGACUAACGUAUGCGAAAGCAUUUGCCAAGGAUGUUUUUCAUUAAUCAAGAACGAAAGAUUGGGGAUCAAAGACGAUCAGAU